Molecule: ribosomal RNA, 466 nt
Filed under: uncultured bacterium
Lineage: Bacteria
Description: partial 16S ribosomal RNA
Rfam family: Bacterial small subunit ribosomal RNA
Source: RNAcentral
CUACGGGUUGCUCCAGUGGGGAAUAUUGGACAAUGGGGGAAACCCUGAUCCAGCAAUGCCGCGUGUGUGAAGAAGGCCUGCGGGUUGUAAAGCACUUUCGGUUGGGAGGACUGCUUCUAGCACUAAUAUUGUUGGAAGUUGACGUUACCUUCAGAAGAAGCACCGGCUAACUCCGUGCCAGCAGCCGCGGUGAAUACGGAGGGUGCAAGCGUUAAUCGGAAUUACUGGGCGUAAAGCGCGCGUAGGCGGCUAGAUCAGUCGGGUGUGAAAGCCCCGGGCUUAACCUGGGAACUGCAUCCGAUACUGUCUAGCUCGAGUACAGGAGAGGAGAGUGGAAUUCCACAUGUAGCGGUGAAAUGCGUAGAUAUGUGGAGGAACACCAAUGGCGAAGGCAGCUCUCUGGCCUGAUACUGACGCUGAGGUGCGAAAGCGUGGGGAGCAAACAGGAUUAGAUACCCUCGUAGUC